RNAcentral lists this unclassified non-coding RNA (317 nucleotides) under fungal sp. RNAcentral's name for it is "partial internal transcribed spacer region". The stretch from base 1 to 45 matches the Rfam family "Eukaryotic small subunit ribosomal RNA", at positions 1787 to 1831 of the family's 1831-position model. The record is from RNAcentral. Lineage: Eukaryota; Fungi.
AGUCGUAACAAGGUAUCCGUAGGUGAACCUGCGGAUGGAUCAUUAACAAAGAUUUUAAAAAGUCUUGUGAACUGUAUAUUAGAACGUUGUCUAGCCUAGGCGGCCUUGCGUAGUCUAGCCUGGGCGACCUUGCGUAGUCUAGCCUGGGCGACCUUGCGUAGUCUAGCCUAGGCGACCUUGCGUUGUCUAGCCUAGGCGGCCUUGCGUAGUCUAGCCUAGGCAACACCCAAACGUAUAUAAACUUAACCUGACGUCUACCUUUAGCGUAGUAAAAACUAAACUAAAGACAACUUUUAGCAACGGAUCUCUUGGCUCUC